ACAACACCUAGGAGGAUCCUGAGUACGGCGGAACACGAGAAAUUCCGUCGGAAUCCGCGGGGACCAUCCCGCAAGGCUAAAUACUCCCUAGUGACCGAUAGUGAACCAGUACCGUGAGGGAAAGGUGAAAAGCACCCCGGAAGGGGAGUGAAAUAGAUCCUGAAACCGUGUGCCUACAACAAGUCAAAGCUCGUUAAUGAGUGAUGGCGUGCCUUUUGUAGAAUGAACCGGCGAGUUACGAUUGCAUGCGAGGUUAAGUCGAAGAGACGGAGCCGCAGCGAAAGCGAGUCUGAAUAGGGCGAAUGAGUAUGUAGUCGUAGACCCGAAACCAUGUGAUCUACCCAUGUCCAGGUUGAAGGUGCGGUAAAACGCACUGGAGGACCGAACCCACGUACGUUGAAAAGUGCGGGGAUGAGGUGUGGGUAGCGGAGAAAUUCCAAACGAACUUGGAGAUAGCUGGUUCUCUCCGAAAUAGCUUUAGGGCUAGCCUCGGAAUUGAGAAUGAUGGAGGUAGAGCACUGUUUGGACUAGGGGCCCAUCUCGGGUUACCGAAUUCAGAUAAACUCCGAAUGCCAUUCAUUUAUAUCCGGGAGUCAGACUGCGAGUGAUAAGAUCCGUAGUCGAAAGGGAAACAGCCCAGACCACCAGCUAAGGUCCCAAAAUAUAUGUUAAGUGGAAAAGGAUGUGGGGUUGCACAGACAACUAGGCUAAACAUAUUACCGAAGCUGUGGACUACACCAUUAGGUGUAGUGGUAGGAGAGCGUUCUAAGGGCGUUGAAGGUCGAUCGUGAGGACGGCUGGAGCGCUUAGAAGUGAGAAUGCCGGUAUGAGUAGCGAAAGACAGGUGAGAAUCCUGUCCACCGUAUGACUAAGGUUUCCUGGGGAAGGCUCGUCCGCCCAGGGUUAGUCGGGACCUAAGCCGAGGCCGAUAGGCGUAGGCGAUGGACAACAGGUUGAUAUUCCUGUACCAGUUGUUUUUGUUUGAGCAAUGGAGGGACGCAGUAGGCUAAGGAAUGCAUGCGAUUGGAAGUGCAUGUCCAAGCAAUGAGUCUUGAGUAGAGUUAAAUGCUUUACUCUCUAAGGACAAGUUGUGACGGGGAGCGAAAUAAUAGUAGCGAAGUUCCUGAUGUCACACUGCCAAGAAAAGCUUCUAGUGAGAAAACAACUGCCCGUACCGUAAACCGACACAGGUAGUCGAGGAGAGUAUCCUAAGGUGAGCGAGCGAACUCUCGUUAAGGAACUCGGCAAAAUGACCCCGUAACUUCGGGAGAAGGGGUGCUGACUUCGGUCAGCCGCAGUGAAUAGGCCCAAGCGACUGUUUAUCAAAAACACAGGUCUCUGCAAAAUCGUAAGAUGAAGUAUAGGGGCUGACGCCUGCCCGGUGCUGGAAGGUUAAGAGGAUGGGUUAGCUUCGGCGAAGCUCAGAAUUGAAGCCCCAGUAAACGGCGGCCGUAACUAUAACGGUCCUAAGGUAGCGAAAUUCCUUGUCGGGUAAGUUCCGACCCGCACGAAAGGCGUAACGAUUUGG
RNAcentral lists this ribosomal RNA (1528 nucleotides) under Veillonella sp. Its description in RNAcentral is "partial 23S ribosomal RNA". It matches the Rfam family "Bacterial large subunit ribosomal RNA", at positions 390 to 2012 of the family's 2925-position model. Lineage: Bacteria; Bacillati; Bacillota; Negativicutes; Veillonellales; Veillonellaceae. The record is from RNAcentral.